CGCGGCCUAUCAGCUUGUUGGUGGGGUAACGGCCUACCAAGGCGUCGACGGGUAGCCGGCCUGAGAGGGCGACCGGCCACACUGGGACUGAGACACGGCCCAGACUCCUACGGGAGGCAGCAGUGGGGAAUCUUGCACAAUGGGCGAAAGCCUGAUGCAGCGACGCCGCGUGAGGGAUGACGGCCUUCGGGUUGUAAACCUCUUUCAGCUCCGACGAAGCGAAAGUGACGGUAGGAGCAGAAGAAGCACCGGCCAACUACGUGCCAGCAGCCGCGGUAAUACGUAGGGUGCAAGCGUUGUCCGGAAUUAUUGGGCGUAAAGAGCUCGUAGGCGGUCUGUCACGUCGGCUGUGAAAACCUGGGGCUCAACCCCGGGCCUGCAGCCGAUACGGGCAGACUAGAAUUCGGUAGGGGAGACUGGAAUUCCUGGUGUAGCGGUGGAAUGCGCAGAUAUCAGGAGGAACACCGGUGGCGAAGGCGGGUCUCUGGGCCGAUAUUGACGCUGAGGAGCGAAAGCGUGGGGAGCGAACAGGAUUAGAUACCCUGGUAGUCCACGCCGUAAACGGUGGGCGCUAGGUGUGGGCCUCAUUCCACGAGGUCUGUGCCGCAGCUAACGCAUUAAGCGCCCCGCCUGGGGAGUACG
RNAcentral lists this ribosomal RNA (642 nucleotides) under uncultured bacterium. Its description in RNAcentral is "bacterial SSU rRNA". It matches the Rfam family "Bacterial small subunit ribosomal RNA", at positions 232 to 884 of the family's 1533-position model. The record is from RNAcentral.